Molecule: ribosomal RNA, 163 nt
Filed under: Dodonaea viscosa
Lineage: Eukaryota; Viridiplantae; Streptophyta; Magnoliopsida; Sapindales; Sapindaceae
Description: 5.8S ribosomal RNA
Rfam family: 5.8S ribosomal RNA
About the family: 5.8S ribosomal RNA (5.8S rRNA) is a component of the large subunit of the eukaryotic ribosome.
Source: RNAcentral
AAAACGACUCUCGGCAACGGAUAUCUCGGCUCUCGCAUCGAUGAAGAACGUAGCGAAAUGCGAUACUUGGUGUGAAUUGCAGAAUCCCGUGAACCAUCGAGUCUUUGAACGCAAGUUGCCCCCAAGCCUUUAGGCCGAGGGCACGUCUGCCUGGGUGUCACGC